AGUGGAAGCGUCUGGAAAGUCGCGCGAUACAGGGUGACAGCCCCGUACACAAAAGCGCAUGUGUUGUGAGCUCGAUGAGUAGGGCGGGACACGUGGUAUCCUGUCUGAAUAUGGGGGGACCAUCCUCCAAGGCUAAAUACUCCUGACUGACCGAUAGUGAACCAGUACCGUGAGGGAAAGGCGAAAAGAACCCCGGCGAGGGGAGUGAAAAAGAACCUGAAACCGUGUACGUACAAGCAGUGGGAGCCCCACCACCAAAGCAUUCUCUGGUGUUGAAGGCCCUGCAAAGCAGCAUCGCGGUGGCGGAGCGUCGUUUGCGACGCCCAACACAAAAAACAAGCGGUGAGUGCUUUGGGGUGGGGUGACUGCGUACC
Molecule: ribosomal RNA, 374 nt
Filed under: Salmonella enterica subsp. enterica serovar Mbandaka
Lineage: Bacteria; Pseudomonadati; Pseudomonadota; Gammaproteobacteria; Enterobacterales; Enterobacteriaceae
Description: bacterial LSU rRNA
Rfam family: Bacterial large subunit ribosomal RNA
Source: RNAcentral